Panicum virgatum (switchgrass) is the source of this 1117-nucleotide long non-coding RNA. RefSeq lists it as uncharacterized. The transcript has 2 exons. NCBI's taxonomy places the organism in Eukaryota, Viridiplantae, Streptophyta, Magnoliopsida, Poales, Poaceae. The record is from RefSeq and is a predicted model, not a curated record.
CACAACACGCUCCGUUAAGAUUCAGUUUACUAGCGUGUGUGUGUUUUUUCCCCCUCUUGUUUAUCGCCACCAACACGCCUCGAAAGGCGUGCAAGUGCGUUUUGGCGUUCCCCACAAACAUGCUUCCCAUUCUCUAUGCUCCCACAAUGCCACGGCCAAUUGUUAAACCAAUCGCUUUCUUCCCCCUCCAGCCCUCGCAGCCAUCAGCCAUGUGAGGGGCCUUUGUAUAUAAGCACCACUCUGUUCUUCAGUCUCUUGGCUUCCUUCCCUUGCCUUGCCCUGCUCUCUCUCUCUCUCUCUCUCUCUCUCUCUCUCUCUCUCUCUCUCUCUCUCUCCUGCAAGCCGCCAAGCCUCCAGUCCUCCCUUCCAGUAAAGCUCACUCUCUGGAAGACACAGCCAGCAGCUAGCCCUUCUUGCUUCCCCUCGCCGUCCCCUUGUCGGAAUGGAGUUCAGGGCGAGCUCUAGAAGGAGUACCUGGCCAAUGUGCGGCGACAGAGGAAAGGAGCCGGACGGAAGGCCGCACAGAUAGGGGAGAAGGGUGCGCGCCUUGGGCUCCCACUGCCGGCUGGACCUCGUGCUCGCUCGACCCGCGAGCUGAGCACGGGGAGAAGACGACGCAGAUGGUGUGAGCUUCGUGGGGAAUUGAGGCUUGAUGGUCCGAGAUAUAUAUCUCUCUCUUAGGUGCGUGCUUGCAGUGCCAGGAGAUCUCAAUGGUCCUCUAAGCAAUGUAAUAAUAAUACUGGUAGAGGCAGUACCAAGUUGGGAAUGCAGCGGUUGCAUUUUGUGAUGCCUUGUAGUCACUCUGUCUCUGUGAUAUUGCAUUCAUGUGUUCCCUGCUGGCAGAAACUUUCAGGAAAUGCCAGCAGGAAAUGCGCUUAAUUAGUCGGUAUCUCUUUCGAAUUCAAUAUUCAGAAGCGUUUUUUUAUUUGGUCUUGCAAUGCAAACAGUCUGUGAAUUAGUUGCAGGAGUAGAAGCAAGUGCCGAGCAGCUGGAAGUUGGGUAAAAGCGCUAGAUUCUUGAGUCUGCUAGUUUUCUUUUCACUUGAUAAACCUCAGAAGCAAUGUUGUACUGAGUUUGCGACGCAUGAUGGGCAUAAAUGGACCGGUUUAUUUUGUCC